AAUGACACCCACCUCCGUCUGUCUUAUUUAUUCCCAAAUCCCCGUCAGUCACAUCUUAAAUAGAGCUGGCUGGCUGCAUAUGCCUUUACCCUAACACCUAUUCCUAUGGCACUAGCAGUAAUAUUAAUCGCCAAAACCUAUCAAAUCUCAUAAUCUUCGAUCCUUUCUUGAUCUCUCAAGUUUCAUUUCACGUGGGUUUCUCAAAGUGUUGCUUACACAUUUUUUUUGGCAUUCUGUCCACCUCCUCCACCCUUAGUUUACUUGAUCGAUCUCAUCACUAAUUUGCGACCGGAGGUGGACAAACUGUCAACAGAGUUGUGUUGGCUUCUCUUUGUAAAAUCUUCCUGAUAUUUUUAUAUAUACACAUCUCAAUCAAUUCAUUCUUUUUACCUCGCAUAUUAGCUGCCAUGCCAAACUCCUGUGGAUUACUGAGAGACACGGGAAUCAGGAUCCUCAUAGAAUUUCCUUGCUAAAAAGAUGGAUGGUGAAAUCAGAUAAAAAAAGUCGCUUUCUGCCUCUGCUUAUAAUCUAUUUUCCAUUUAUUUGUAAAGUGGAUACCUUCAUAAUUUUCUUUCACUUUAAUUUAAAAGUUUUCCCUUGUAAUUUCCUGUAAUAAUUUGUAUAGAUUGGGUAUAAUUACAACGAAGUAUUUAUCUUUUAACGUUUUUUAUAUUUAUUUAUACAAACCUGUAUUUCUAAGAUGUAUUUACGGUCUAGGGUUUCAGGAGCCUGCUCUUGCUUUCACCUCUUUAGGGUUGAAUCGAACGCCUUUGCACUAAUUUUAUUUUUUAUAAUUGGUUGAUGCUUGUUGAUUAUAGAUCUAGCCACCAGAAGGGUACUAGAAAUAAUUGGUCUUUUUAUCGAAUUAUUUUACUGAUUUUAAGUGCUAUUGCCAUUUUUUUUUGAUGUGAUAUUGUCAUCUAGAUCUUAAUUAAUUUAACGCGUUUAUUUUUUCUGCAAGCUGCAGUAGGAGAUUAUGCAUGGCCGCCACUGAUCUGUAUUGUGUUGAAUAUGCUUCUCUUAUCCUGACUAAAAAUUAAUUUAAAAUUUAAAAAUUGGUAGCGAUUUAAUUGCUUUUCAUGAUUUGCGUAUUCGAAGAGGCAACAUAGUACUACCAUCAAGCAAAGCAUUAAUUUACGACGACUCAUAUUUCCUUCCUUUCUUCCCUAUUGCCGAAUACUUUUUCUUCAUUUCAUACAACCUUUAUCUGAACACAAAUCUAGGCCCAUGAUUGAACACUCUGACAUCAACGUUUUAUUCAAAAGUGAGACAAUUAAGCACACUCUUUUCAUGGCGCGUGGGUUAAUCAACGUUGGUAAAGUCAGUGAAUACACCAGUACUACUACUAAGCGUAUAUUAUAUCCACCGGUCUCUAGACUCUAAUGCUGUAUUUUUCUCCAUCUUUGUACGUUUUCUUUUCUUAGUUUGACUACUAGGUUACUAGGUCAUAGCUUGUUUGGCCUUUUAA
Molecule: long non-coding RNA, 1468 nt
Organism: Medicago truncatula (barrel medic)
Lineage: Eukaryota; Viridiplantae; Streptophyta; Magnoliopsida; Fabales; Fabaceae
Exons: 2
Source: RefSeq, a predicted model, not a curated record